This 271-nucleotide ribosomal RNA is filed under the name uncultured archaeon. RNAcentral describes it as "partial 16S ribosomal RNA". It matches the Rfam family "Archaeal small subunit ribosomal RNA", at positions 477 to 747 of the family's 1478-position model. The record is from RNAcentral.
CAGCGCCACGAGUGGGGAUCGCUUUUAUUGGGCCUAAAGCGUCCGUAGCCGGUUUUGUAAAUCUCUUGUGAAAUCGUCCAGCUCAACUGGACGGCGUGCAGGAGACACUGCAGAACUAGGGACCGGGAGGGGUCAGAGGUAUUCUGGGGGGAGCGGUAAAAUGCUAUAAUCCCCGGAGGACCACCGGUGGCGAAGGCGUCUGACCAGAACGGAUCCGACGGUGAGGGACGAAAGCCAGGGGAGCAAUCCGGAUUAGAUACCCGAGUAGUCC